RNAcentral lists this ribosomal RNA (508 nucleotides) under uncultured bacterium. RNAcentral's name for it is "bacterial SSU rRNA". It matches the Rfam family "Bacterial small subunit ribosomal RNA", at positions 30 to 527 of the family's 1533-position model. The record is from RNAcentral.
AUUGAACGCUGGCGGCAUGCUUUACACAUGCAAGUCGAACGGCAGCGCGGGGGCAACCCUGGCGGCGAGUGGCGAACGGGUGAGUAAUGUAUCGGAACGUAUCCUGUAAUGGGGGAUAACCAGUCGAAAGAUUGGGUAAUACCGCAUACGCACGAGAGUGGAAAGUAGGGGAUCGCAAGACCUUACGUUAUAGGAGCGGCCGAUAUCUGAUUAGCUAGUUGGUGGGUAAAGGCCUACCAAGGCGACGAUCAGUAGCUGGUCUGAGAGGACGACCAGCCACACUGGGACUGAGACACGGCCCAGACUCCUACGGGAGGCAGCAGUGGGGAAUUUUGGACAAUGGGCGAAAGCCUGAUCCAGCCAUGCCGCGUGCAGGAAGAAGGCCUUCGGGUUGUAAACUGCUUUAGUCUAGGAAAAAGGGGUAGCGAGGUUAAUACCUCGUGCUUUGAUGGUACUGGAAGAAUAAGACACCGGCUAACUACGUGCCAGCAGCCGCGGUAAAGUACCG